Molecule: ribosomal RNA, 432 nt
Filed under: uncultured bacterium
Lineage: Bacteria
Description: partial 16S ribosomal RNA
Rfam family: Bacterial small subunit ribosomal RNA
Source: RNAcentral
AACGAACGCUGGCGGCAGGCCUAACACAUGCAAGUCGAGCGAGGACUUCGGUCCUAGCGGCGGACGGGUGAGUAACGCGUGGGAACGUGCCCUUUGCUUCGGAAUAGCCCUGGGAAACUGGGAGUAAUACCGGAUGAGCCCUUUGGGGGAAAGAUUUAUCGGCGAAGGAUCGGCCCGCGUUGGAUUAGGUAGUUGGUGGGGUAAUGGCCUACCAAGCCGACGAUCCAUAGCUGGUUUGAGAGGAUGAUCAACCACACUGGGACUGAGACACGGCCCAGACUCCGCGGAGGGGCAGCAGUGGGGAAGCUUAAACAAGGGGGGAACCCCGAAUGUAGCCGGGCCGCGGAAGCGGGGAAGGACUGAGGUAUGAAAGGCUCUUUCCGCGGGGAAGUUAUGGCCGGCACCAGAAAAAAAGGCCCGGCAAACCCCCGU